CCUACGGGGGGCAGCAGUGGGGAAUAUUGCACAAUGGGGGAAACCCUGAUGCAGCAACGCCGCGUGAGUGAUGAAGGUUUUCGGAUCGUAAAGCUCUGUCUUUGGGGAAGAUAAUGACGGUACCCAAGGAGGAAGCCACGGCUAACUACGUGCCAGCAGCCGCGGUAAUACGUAGGUGGCGAGCGUUAUCCGGAUUUACUGGGCGUAAAGGGUGCGUAGGCGGUAGGGCAAGUCAGAUGUGAAAGCCCGGAGCUCAACUCCGGGACUGCAUUUGAAACUGUCCUACUAGAGUGCAGGAGAGGAAAGCGGAAUUCCUAGUGUAGCGGUGAAAUGCGUAGAUAUUAGGAAGAACACCAGUGGCGAAGGCGGCUUUCUGGACUGUAACUGACGCUGAGGCACGAAAGCGUGGGGAGCGAACAGGAUUAGAUACCCGGGUAGUC
RNAcentral lists this ribosomal RNA (440 nucleotides) under uncultured bacterium. Its description in RNAcentral is "bacterial SSU rRNA". It matches the Rfam family "Bacterial small subunit ribosomal RNA", at positions 338 to 795 of the family's 1533-position model. The record is from RNAcentral.